This is a long non-coding RNA of Chelonia mydas (Green sea turtle), 5477 nucleotides long. RefSeq lists it as uncharacterized. NCBI's taxonomy places the organism in Eukaryota, Metazoa, Chordata, Testudines, Cheloniidae. The record is from RefSeq and is a predicted model, not a curated record. The transcript has 3 exons.
GGGGAAGCCAGAGAGUGGAAGGAGAGUGGUUGCCCUUCCUUCAGGACUGAGAAGCCCUUAGGGCUGAAACCCCCAACUGAAGGUGGUGGGAUUGUGCACUCCUUCGCUGGUCAGUUAUGAGGCUCAUCUGGAAGAGGUGGUGAUGGUCCUACCAAUUGUUCUGAUUCAUUUCUGACAUUUGAGCCCGCCAGACGUAUUACAUCUGGAGCAACAAAGGCUGGAGGCAGAAGAAAUAACAGUGUGGGUGAGACAGCUCUCUGUCUUGGAUGAUUGAUGCAGGAACAACAGAGCUUGACUGUUUGAUGGCCUCUGACUCACCCGUACUGAUGUGUCCUAUACUGGGCAGGCAUUCCUUGGGCUGGUGCAGGUCACUGAAAAACAUGUGGUAAGAGGCUGCAGUCCAUCACCUAGGUCAGAGAGGGGAACAAACACAGACUCUCUAUGCUGUGCUGCCAAUCAAGAGAGAGGUUGGAUUCAUACCAUAGCAUGCUGGAUUUCAUGAGUAACACAAGUUCUUCAGACAUAUUAAAGGAAACAAGAUCUGUGGUCACUUCAGGAGACCACAGAAAAUGCUUCAUUGUUUGCUCUGGUUUUUUUACCCCUUUUAUAGGUAGAAAUGGGUCUGAGGAAACCUCCUGGAUUUGAAGACUUGUUCUUUGGUGUAUUUGAAUUCCAGAUCCAGAUGCAAGUUUUUUGUGGCUAAUACCCUCUCUUACUUACACUGAUCAUUUUCUUAACAUCUGAUGCAUCUUUAAUAUGUAUAAUCAAACAUGUCCUAAAACAUCACCAUGGCUUUGGGGGACACCAGAGAGAAAUGUACCUUCUUGAAAGGAAUAUUUUACUGUGUUUUGUGGGCAGAAAUAAGACAAACUACCCUUUUCAAAAACAGGCAGAAGCAAAACAUCUAAUCUAUCAGUUGCAUCCAUCACUGUAAUAUCUGUCAUCUAACAUUAUGCUCAGUCAUCAGCAAUCUGGUGAAAGCACGCUGUGUAGCUCCAGUCCCCCACAUUCAAGAAUUAUCUUCCCCAAAUUCCACAGUAGCCCUGUCUUUCUGUUCAGUCUUAGACUAUAGGGAUUUUGAGUUUUCCCAUCAUGCCUUUCUGCAGUGACCUCCUUAAAGAGUCAUGGUGGCAAGAAGAACAUUGUUUAUCAAAAUAUUCAAACCAGCCCUGUGCAGCUGCCAAAAAGACACAUUUCUUUCACUUGGUUUCAGCUGCCAGGAGAGGUUCCUUUUGCUCAUCAAAGAGCACCCUUUACCCAUAACAUUUCAGGCUAAAUGUCAGCUAACAGGUCCCCAUUUGGGACCUUCUUAGCUUCUGGGAUUUCCAGUAAAAGAGUGGGAUUUUUCCCUAGCUGCUGCUGCUCCCAAGGAUGCUCACAGAGACCUCCCAUCUCCCCUAGCAGCCUCCAUCCUGUCCUGGGAUUUUUAUGAAGCAGAGUUAAGAUUCAGUUCAGUUAAUCCAACCUACGCCAUCACAGAAUCCGCUCCAGCACAGAGCCCAGACUAGGAAAUGUAAAUACAGUGGGCAGCAGUGGGAACAAGAAGGGAAAUCCGUGGGGGGAGGGGGCAUUUAACUGGUACAUUCAAUAGACUGAGAGAUGAGUAGCAGGGCCUAAAAUAACCCUCCCUAUCUUACACUCCAUUGCUUGGGGGGGGGGAGGGGGGGAAGGCACAAGAUCCAGGCUCAAGAACCAAGAUUCACAAACUCUGAAAUACCCAUAGUUCUAAGGAAACCUCUAAAAAUCUGUUUUCCCCACCUCGAAGAGUCCCCAAAUGGCUUCCUAGCAGUUAGCGAUAGCAUAAAUUACCAGCACUUGAGUGAACUAGCAAAUGCCCUUAUUAGCACCUAGGUGGUGAUGCUGGGCUGGUAAAUUGAAUCUUUGCAAAUCAGGGUGGUGUUUGCCAGGUCUCCAGCCUGUGUCAACACAGCUCUUUGAGUGAGGCCUCUCCUGACCCCUUAGCUCUUAGCUGCAGGGCUAGAGGGGGAUGCAGCUUGCUACGCAGCCUGGAAUUUUCAAGCUUUUUUCUUCUUUUAGCCAUUUAAUGCUGUCUGAGAAGAGGCAGGGGGUAGGAGAGACAGAGGGAAAGAGAGAGACACUGAGUCAGACACAGACAGAGAGAAAAAGGUAGGUGCAUAGUGAGAAAGAGAGGGAGAGCAAUAGAUAGUGAUACAGAAUGAGCACAUGAGAUAAAUCCCUUUUACGCAUGGAAAAUCAGCUCUUGGCAGAGGUGGGUUGAGGACACAUGGGCCCAAAUUCCCUGUUGGAGUAAUCCUAUUGACUGUCCUGGAAUUACAGCAGAAGGGAAAAUGGUUCACACUUGAGAUCCAGAUUGCAAAGAUAUUUGAGGUUUCUGGCUCUUCCCAUAAUAGUGAUGAAGCCAGGUACAAAGAUCAGAGCAAUAUCAGAAUCGAGAUCCAGAUGAGCCUAACCCAGUCCUUGGCUUUGGUUUGGACCUACGUUGACUUUCUGUUACACAGGUACGUGGAGUGGGCUUGUCAGAAGCACUUGGCAUGGGCCAACUCUGUUCUCAUUGAAGUGAAUGUGAGUUUUACUAUUGGCUUCCAUGAGGAGCAGAGAGAGGCCCCCACCAAGUGCUUCUGACAGUCCAACCCGUAACAAAUGAACGUUGACAAUGUUUAUAUUCUUGUCUGGCAACCACAACCACCAGAGCCUGCUCAUUCCUGCAGCUGAGUGUGUGGGGCUCCCAUUGACUUCAGUGGGAAUGGUUCCCAUGUACCUUGCGGGAUAAGCGGGAAGGACCCUGCCAAUGAGAACUGUAGCUGAAUAGACAGAACAGUAAAAGAAAGAAAGAAGGCUGCACAGGUCAGUUAGGAGAAGGUCUAACCUGCUCCUACUUAUACGCUGUGUAGCGCAGAUUUUCAUAUUUCAUGGAAAAAGUACAGCUACUUUGGGAAUCACAUGUAAAUUAUACAAAAUUGCUGCCCUCCCUCCUAGAAUCCAGUGUCAGGUAUGUGAAUGUCUAAAUGGAUUUGUAUAUUCACAGUCCCUGAUUCAGUGCCCGUAAGAAUCAGUGGAAAGACUCCCAUUGACUUCAGUGGGUGCUGAAUUGGCCCCAAAGACUUUAACAUUAAAAGGCACGGUUAUCUUCUCUAGUCUGGCCUCCUACAUAACACCAGCCAUAAAUUUCCACCAGUGAUUCUUACUUACCAAAAUAGGGCAAAGAAAGUAAAGGAAAGCCCCAGGGGGGAGAAAUGGCCAGUCCCUAGCAGCACCAUGCACAUAUUUCCUCUGCUAAAAUGUCAAGAAGGAUUUGGUGUGGAAGCUAACGCAGGGAUCUGUGCAUGAGUCUCACUGACCCUGACAGGGCAUGGCAGGUCACAUUUUCCUGGGGGGAGACUGCCUUUUUAUAGCUCUCCAGUGUAUCAGGCAUAGGCAUCUUUCCAGUGACAGGACCCCAUCUGUGUUUACAGCAAGAAUAAUCUGCUCACGCAAGGCUUAGAUCUCUCUUCCAGGAACCUGGACAGUGAUGCAACAAUACCCACCCUCCUUCCACCUCAGCGCUUUGUUGUCUGGAGUCUCCUUGAAGGCCGUAAAGUAAGCUAGUAGUUUUAUUGCCUUUUCCCAGCAUCAGUUCUGGUUUGCUAUCACAGGGAUUGAAUUUAUCUCCCAUCCUGGCCUGUGAAGAUCUGAUGGUAAAAGAAACAAAUGCACGAACAGUAUUCACUGAAAAGUCUUUCCGCAGGGCAUGACUGAGGAGCUUUGGCAGAGAUGAGUGCAGGCUCGGCGAGAAGCACAUGGGGAGCUACAGGUGCGGACAGAGUACUUACAUUCCUCUACAAAAAUUCAGUGCCACCAACCUAACUCAGCCAGUCACUGUGUGUCCCAGCACUGGCUAGAGCCUGACCAAUAUAACUCCAGCGCUUGAAUCUACAGCAAAAAGAAUAGAGCAGGGAUGCAUAAAUGCAAUACACAGUUGAGAACACUAGGGGGAGUUUAGCAAAGGAGUCACCACUGAAGAGAGAGGCAAGAAGGCAGAGCUGGUUCAGUCUUGUACCUUUGCUUGAAUGAAGAAUUAAGUUCAGUUCCUCGCUGAGUGCAGCUCCCACUUCUGGGGGGCAGGAGAAAAGGGCCUGGUUUUACAGGUGCCGAGCACCAUCUCCAUUAACUUCAGUGAGAGGUGCUGAGCACAUGCAAAAGCUGAACUCUAAAAAUCCAGCCAUUUGUGUUUCAAAAAAAAACAGAAACAAGCCUCAAAAAUCCAGUCCUAACACGCAGCAGAAGCCGACCCCAUGACACUGGUGCAGUGCGCUCUGGUGUGAAUUGCUCCGGCUGUGGGGUAAUACAGCUAGUGACAAGAGAUGGGGCAGAGCAGCACUUGGUGAGUCUGCAUCUAAAUGCAGACCCUCCUCAAAGCUCAGGGGAUCUGGAGUCACGGCCAGGCCUCUUGCUGCUCGUGACAGUAAUACAAAGCUGAGUAACUGCUCAAAAUAACAGCGCUUCUCCCCAAGGGGAGCUACCCGAUCUCCACCCAGUGUGGCUGGCAUGAGCCUCUGUCGAUUACCACUGAGCUGAAUCCUAUCAGGUGUCAAACUGCAUUGAAUCAAUUAGCACCUCUUCUCUCCUCCCAGAGGAGCCAGCUCACCCCCAGGCUUUGAAAAGGGCUGCAGUCUGUUUAUCUACAGUGGGAACCAGCAGAGCCAGGUGGCCCUGGUAUGUCAGUAGCAGCUCCAGGAGGUGACGAGAUGGAAGCCAUGUUACACUCAACUCUCCUGAAUGCAGCAAUCUGCAGUGGAGAUGAAAGACCUGCCAUUUGCUCAGGUCACCAUUUUAUCACCUGCUCUUGGACUUCCUUGCAGGGUGAAGGAAUUCUUUCCCAUAGAAAGGAUCAGUUUCCAUUCUUCAAACAAUAAUGAUGCAUGCAUGGUACCACAAUAGGCAGCAUAGAGACUCUUGCUUCUAGGAGUGGGCUCAAACCUAAACCCCAGUGCUGACACAUUUGGAUCCAGAUCUGAACUUUGGCCUAUAUUCUUACAAUGGACAGAACCAAAAUCCUGAUCCAAACACCCCAAAGCUACGGGGAAGUUUGGAUCUGGAUCUAUAGCUGAACUUUGCGAACUUGGCUCCAUGUCUAGUGUGAAUUCAAAUUCUAGACAUAGGUUUGAGGGUCAGUUUGUACUGGAGCUGAGCUAGUUUGCUCAUUCCUAUGAUGCGUUGCCCUGGUAAAUGUGAUUUCGUGCUGGACAGCACCAUGUCUGUUCAGCUGUCAAGGAUUCAGAACACAUUUAACAAUAAACAAUAAGUAAAUGCUUGUAUGGUUAAAACCCAUUUCUCUCAGAAGGGUAAUGCUUAAGUAAUGCAUGGCUCCUUGCUUCAUGGGAGGCCGUAGACUUGGAAAGAUAUCAGUCACAGAAGAUGGAUCAUUGCCAAGGGGUCAAGUCUAGUUAGAAUAAGUAGAUUGUAUGUUUUUGGGACAAGUUUAAUAUUUUACUCAUUUGCACAGCAUCCAUCACAAU